RNAcentral lists this ribosomal RNA (369 nucleotides) under uncultured bacterium. RNAcentral's name for it is "bacterial SSU rRNA". It matches the Rfam family "Bacterial small subunit ribosomal RNA", at positions 771 to 1135 of the family's 1533-position model. The record is from RNAcentral.
ACCUAAUAGAUACCCCGGUAGUCCACGCCCUAAACGAUGCGAACUGGAUGUUGGGUACAUUACGGUACUCAGUGUCGAAAGCUAAACGCGUUAAGUUCGCCGCCUGGGGAGUACGGUCGCAAGACUGAAACUCAAAGGAAUUGACGGGGGUCCCGCACAAGCGGUGGAGUAUGUGGUUUAAUUCGAUGCAACGCGAAGAACCUUACCUGGCCUUGACAUCUGUCGAAUCCUGCAGAGAUGCGGGUAGUGCCGCAAGGAACGACAAGACAGGUGCUGCAUGGCUGUCGUCAGCUCGUGUCGUGAGAUGUUGGGUUAACGUCCCGCAACGAGCGCAACCCUUGUCCCUAGUUGCCAGCACAUCAUGGUGGG